GGAUAACUUACCCUUAGGACUGGGAUAACUCUGGGAAACUGGGGAUAAUACUGGAUAUUAGGCUAUGCCUGGAAUGGUUUGCCUUUGAAAUGUUUUUUCGCCUAAGGAUAGGUCUGCGGCUGAUUAGGUCGUUGGUGGGGUAAUGGCCCACCAAGCCGAUGAUCGGUACGGGUUGUGAGAGCAAGGGCCCGGAGAUGGAACCUGAGACAAGGUUCCAGACCCUACGGGGUGCAGCAGGCGCGAAACCUCCGCAAUGUACGAAAGUGCGACGGGGGGAUCCCAAGUGUUAUGCUUUUUUGUAUGACUUUUCAUUAGUGUAAAAAGCUUUUAGAAUAAGAGCUGGGCAAGACCGGUGCCAGCCGCCGCGGUAACACCGGCAGCUCGAGUGGUAGCUGUUUUUAUUGGGCCUAAAGCGUUCGUAGCCGGUUUGAUAAGUCUUUGGUGAAAGCUUGUAGCUUAACUAUAAGAUUGCUGGAGAUACUA
This 483-nucleotide ribosomal RNA is filed under the name uncultured archaeon. RNAcentral describes it as "bacterial SSU rRNA". It matches the Rfam family "Archaeal small subunit ribosomal RNA", at positions 102 to 586 of the family's 1478-position model. The record is from RNAcentral.